Oryza glaberrima (African rice) is the source of this 194-nucleotide non-coding RNA. The record is from Rfam. NCBI's taxonomy places the organism in Eukaryota, Viridiplantae, Streptophyta, Magnoliopsida, Poales, Poaceae.
UAUAAGGGAAUUUGAGUUUUUGCUUACAUUGUUUGAUCACUCGUCUUAUUUAAAAAUUUUUGGAAUUAUUACUUUUUUACUUACUUUAUUAUCCAAAGUAUUUUAAGCACAACUUUUCUUUUUUAUAUUUGCACAAAUUUUUUAAAUAAGACGAGUGAUUAAACAGUGUAAACAAAAACUUAAAAUCCCUUAUA